RNAcentral lists this ribosomal RNA (253 nucleotides) under uncultured bacterium. Its description in RNAcentral is "partial 16S ribosomal RNA". It matches the Rfam family "Bacterial small subunit ribosomal RNA", at positions 524 to 776 of the family's 1533-position model. The record is from RNAcentral.
UACAGAGGGGGCAAGCGUUGUUCGGAAUUACUGGGCGUAAAGGGCGCGUAGGCGGCCUUCUAAGUCGAACGUGAAAUCCCCGGGCUCAACCCGGGAACUGCGUCCGAUACUGGAAGGCUUGAAUCCGGGAGAGGGAUGCGGAAUUCCAGGUGUAGCGGUGAAAUGCGUAGAUAUCUGGAGGAACUCCGGUGGCGAAGGCGGCGUGCUGGACCCGAUCUGACGCUGAGGCGCGAAAGCCAGGGGAGCAAACGGG